CGGGUUGUGGCGCAGCGGUAGCGCACUCGCUUUGGGAGCGAGGGGUCGUCAGUUCGAAUCUGACCACCCCGACCA
Molecule: transfer RNA, 75 nt
Filed under: Candidatus Babeliales bacterium
Lineage: Bacteria; Candidatus Babeliae; Candidatus Babeliales
Description: tRNA-Pro
Rfam family: tRNA
About the family: Transfer RNA (tRNA) molecules are approximately 80 nucleotides in length. Their secondary structure includes four short double-helical elements and three loops (D, anti-codon, and T loops). Further hydrogen bonds mediate the characteristic L-shaped molecular structure. tRNAs have two regions of fundamental functional importance: the anti-codon, which is responsible for specific mRNA codon recognition, and the 3' end, to which the tRNAs corresponding amino acid is attached (by aminoacyl-tRNA synthetases). tRNAs cope with the degeneracy of the genetic code in two manners: having more than one tRNA (with a specific anti-codon) for a particular amino acid; and 'wobble' base-pairing, i.e. permitting non-standard base-pairing at the 3rd anti-codon position.
Source: RNAcentral